AUUCAGGUGGGCCUAGUGGAAUCAGGUGCGUUCCUAAAAGUGAAAGAGGGAAGCAGAGAUGUAGUCCGUCAAAGAUGUGACUGUGGAGGAAAGGCACAAAGAAUGCAACAUUACUGGCUUUAAAGAUGGAAGUGGGGCCGUGAGAUAAGGAAUGCAGGUAGCCUCUUGAAGCUGGAAAAGAAAAUCAUGACUAGCUUCUGGCCAUGACAAAAGUUAUGUCAGCAUCAUUAUGUAACACCUGUGAUCGGUGCAGAAUGGAAGAGGUUUAAGAACCAGAACGGAGUCCUCUAUAUAACUGAAAAGUUUCUCUACAAUGUUAAAUGUGCUGCUCAAUCCCCCGAAGUAAAGUAAAUGGCCUGCAGCGAAGUCUGAGGAAAGCUCUACAACACCAUGAAUAUAGCUCAUGAAAGCUGGCACAGAGAUUAGCCCUGAGCUAACUGCUGCCAAUCCUCCUCUUUUUUUGCUGAGGAAGUCUGGCCCUGAGCCAACAUCCAUGCCCAUCUUCCUCUACUCUACAUGUGGGACACCUACCACAGCAUGGCUUCCCAAGCAGUGCCAUGUCCACCCCCGAGAUCUGAACCUGCCAUCCCUGGGCCACCGAUGCAGAACAUGCGAACUUAGCUGUUGUGCCACUGGGCCGGCCCCAUUGUGUUUUAAUGUUAUAUAAAAUUUAUGUUAUUUUUGCAAGCUAUAGAUCUGUUCAAAAUAGAGGCUUCUAUUCCUAAUUUUUUGGAAUAUUUUCUUCAUUCACUUACUUAUUCACUCAAUGACUUAGUGAAUAUUACAGAGUGCUUACCUAGUAUGUGCCAGAUACUUUUAUCAGAAUUUAAAAAUGAAUGUAUGACUCUAGAGAUGAUUUAAUUUUUUAAAUUGUUUCAUGUGAAAAUGAUAGGGCCAAUCUUUAUAAGCAAA
RNAcentral lists this long non-coding RNA (912 nucleotides) under Equus asinus (donkey). RNAcentral describes it as "lncRNA (ENSEASG00005027423.1)". Lineage: Eukaryota; Metazoa; Chordata; Mammalia; Perissodactyla; Equidae. The record is from RNAcentral.